This 1502-nucleotide long non-coding RNA is filed under the name Homo sapiens (human). RNAcentral's name for it is "non-protein coding lnc-OR4C13-5:1". The record is from RNAcentral. Lineage: Eukaryota; Metazoa; Chordata; Mammalia; Primates; Hominidae.
CCGCCACCGCCGUCCCCACUCCUAGGCACACAGGUCAAGGAGGACCGCGCUGACUACAAAGAGUUCCAGGACUUCUCCAGUCUGCCCGACACCCACAACAUCGCCUGGGACCACUCUUUCUACCCUUUCCAGGAGGAGGAGGAGCACGGCGUCAAGGGUGUGGAGAGCGUCCUGGAGAAGGGCGUUCUGGACGAGGGCGUCCUGGAGGCAUGGGGCUGCUGCAGACCCGCCACGCAGGGUGGAACCGAUCGCAACCGAGCCCUGAGCUAGCAGGGGCGGUUAUCCACGCGAGGGCCCCCGCCGUGGGAUGUCGCCAGAGGAGUGGUCACUUACACGUCCGCCUCAAGCAGAGGCUCCUGGAGCGCCCCUGCCAGGAGCCGUUGGGGAAAAAGUACCAGCUUGAGCUGCCUCCGCUCUACGAGAGGGCGCGGAAGCCCGAGGGCUCGAAGAACUUGCCUGCAGAUGGUCAGGGACUGCGAGCUGUCCGCGCUGACGCUGCGCUCCCUGUGUGGCCCGGAGGACCGGGGCGCCCUGGACCACAGCGCCAGAGGCCGGUGCCGAAGGGCAGCACCAAGGACAGUGGCCACCUGCGGACACCCGCCACCUGCGGACACCCAAGUGGCCGUACAAGGUGGCCACGGAGGAGAAACCGGAGGCUGAGGAGGCCGAGAAGAAGCGCCAGGCCAAGGUGCAGGAGAAGCGCCUGCCGCCGUGGAAGAAGAGGCCUGUUCCUAAUGUGUUCCAGCCUUAAUCAGGUGCACAGGGUACCCUGGGGCCAGCACAGGGCUUGUCAAGUAAUGCUCCUGGUGUCCACAAAACAGCUCCAGAGAUACCUGCAUUUUGAAAAGCCUGCCAAGCCAGCAAAUAUGGGGCAGGACCCAGAUUGCUUUGGCAAAUCUGAAGGUGAGCUGGCCACUUGAGUGUGGAGGCGAGUCUGUUGUGGGUGAAACAGAAGCCCCUGGGGUAAGGCCAGACCCCAGGCCUGAAAAGGAUGCAAAGCCUGCUGUUUCAGGCUGUCAGGAAGAAUCAUGGCUACAAAGUGAAUAUGAUGAAAUGCAUCCCAGAGAGGAAAUGAAUGUGCCUUCACUAAGAAGUGGGUCUGGCUGCCAGGUCUCUGGCAGUCCACUGGCGAAAGGACUACAUCCCCUGCAGCCCUGCCAUCCACACUACAUGAUGUGGGAAUGCUGUCUCUUCACUCUUACCCUGGGGACCCAAGCCUGCUUUGAGGUGUGCCCGGAGACUCAAGCUUGCUCAUUUCUGUCCUGACACAUCUCUCUGGUCCUGUGGUGGUCAGAGUCCUCCUGUUCUGUGUCAGCUCCUAGACAUCAUUAGUGUUUCACGUGAUAAGAUUGGAAGCCAUGAGAAAAAACCUUCCUCAAAUCCUAACCAAGAUGAUUUCCACUCAUCAGAAUAUGCUUAUAGGUGUGGAAUUGCAGAGGCUGUUGGUCUUCCAAGUAUUCCUGUUCAUCCAAUUGGAUACUAUGAUGCAGAGAAGCUCCUAG